GUCGUAACAAGGUCUCCGUAGGUGAACCUGCGGAGGNAUCAUUACACAAAUAUGAAGGCGGGCUGGAACCUCUCGGGGUUACAGCCUUGCUGAAUUAUUCACCCUUGUCUUUUGCGUACUUCUUGUUUCCUUGGUGGGUUCGCCCACCACUAGGACAAACAUAAACCUUUUGUAAUUGCAAUCAGCGUCAGUAACAAAUUAAUAAUUACAACUUUCAACAACGGAUCUCUUGGUUCUGGCAUCGAUGAAGAACGCAGCGAAAUGCGAUAAGUAGUGUGAAUUGCAGAAUUCAGUGAAUCAUCGAAUCUUUGAACGCACAUUGCGCCCUUUGGUAUUCCAAAGGGCAUGCCUGUUCGAGCGUCAUUUGUACCCUCAAGCUUUGCUUGGUGUUGGGCGUCUUGUCUCUAGCUUUGCUGGAGACUCGCCUUAAAGUAAUUGGCAGCCGGCCUACUGGUUUCGGAGCGCAGCACAAGUCGCACUCGCUAUCAGCAAAGGUCUAGCAUCCAUUAAGCCUUUUUUUCAACUUUUGACCUCGGAUCAGGUAGGGAUACCCGCUGAACUUAAGCAUAUCA
This 572-nucleotide ribosomal RNA is filed under the name uncultured fungus. RNAcentral's name for it is "eukaryotic LSU rRNA". The stretch from base 210 to 363 matches the Rfam family "5.8S ribosomal RNA". The record is from RNAcentral. Lineage: Eukaryota; Fungi.